Molecule: long non-coding RNA, 856 nt
Filed under: Capra hircus (goat)
Lineage: Eukaryota; Metazoa; Chordata; Mammalia; Artiodactyla; Bovidae
Description: lncRNA (ENSCHIG00010023563.1)
Source: RNAcentral
CAGAGACAAGUGGGUAUCCUUGGGGUGUGGCUGCCAUGCCGGGCAAGUCACGUCAUUUGUCCCCUGCAGGUCCUCCUUGUCUUUCGUUUCUGUUCUGCAGUCUUGGUAGACAACAUUGGGGCCCAGGUAGACUGCCCUUAGGAACUGACAUUGGAGCUGAGGCUUGAAGGGUGGGGUGGGCCCAGAGAUGCUGAGAGGUGGGGAGGGAACUUCAGGGACACAGAACAGUUCAGCACAUUAGACACGAGAAACUAGAGAGAACUCUUAACUCAGCGUCUGCUCUCAAGGUACUGACAGUUUAGGCUGGUUGUCACGCUGGUAAGCUUGAUUCACUGCCACUUCCUGCCUUUAUGAAACUGAUCCUUCCUGUAACCCCCAACCUCCGGCUGCUGUUAAAACUAGGUGUGUCUUCAACUUGCACUUGGGCUCCAGAUUACCUUGAAGGACCUGUGGAACUGAUGCCUUGGGCCAGCCUCAGCUAAUGUCUGCAAGAGACACCAAUCUGCCCUGGGAGAUCCUCUGCACUGUGUAAUGGUAGAGAUUGUGUGAUGCGCGCUCUUUGGGGGUCAGCUGCUGCCUUUGGCACUUUCUCUUUCUUUCAACCUCCCUGUGCAGCUCCUUAGAUUCCUUUCCAUUUCAAGGAGGAAAGUCAAGAUAUCUUUACUCAGUGGAAGAAUGAUGUAGUUUCCUCCUAACCUUCUUUUCUUAUGCUUCCAGAUGCCCUCUGGAAGGUUACGAUGGGAAUGAGCCUGACGACUUGGACGGUUUCCCCGACUUGUUGCCUCUGCCCGCAAGUUUGUCCUUCGGAAGUCAGGAAAGUGCUGCGCGUGGUGGUGGCCUCCCAGGAACAAGGCGU